Long non-coding RNA from Mytilus californianus (California mussel), 161 nucleotides. RefSeq lists it as uncharacterized. Lineage: Eukaryota; Metazoa; Mollusca; Bivalvia; Mytilida; Mytilidae. The record is from RefSeq and is a predicted model, not a curated record. The transcript is spliced from 3 exons.
AAGAAUAGCUUGAAGACAGUUAAAGCUUCACAUGAUAAAGGUGAACCAAGAACUCCAAACAUGUUGGAAGACUCUUUGUGUACUGUCCAUGAGCAAUCUUCGAAACUUCAAAUGACAAAGAAGUGUUAUGUCAGUUUGAAAAAGUUUUCAAUAUCAGAACU